CCAGAUCUUCGGGCUUCAAUUCUUCACCGGUGAAAGCUAUUUUGCUCUAAUUUUUCGUAGCCGACGGAGGCGACAGAAUCCGGUGAAGCAUUAUUACCAAAAGCUUUUAUUGAUUGUGGAGCUAGGGAUCUAAUAGUUCGGCUCAGCUAGGGUUCUAUCUGAGUCGUCGGGGUGUUAUCUGAGUUCCAAACUCUGCUGCCGUCUUGAUUGUGUACGUGCGAGAGAGAUGGAGAAAUGUUUCGAUUAUUUAGGUCUGGUAUUCGGUUAACCGAACUGAACGACCAGUUUAACUUUUAAGUCGGCAAAGAUCCUGACGUAGGAAAAUGUUUAGAGUAGCGCAUAGUAGCAAAGGCAGCAGAAAAUGACGAACUCCUGUUACCCGGUAAACAGUUAUCGAUGGAGUGAGUUGGC
This 411-nucleotide long non-coding RNA is filed under the name Daucus carota (carrot). RNAcentral describes it as "long non-coding RNA (DCAR_LNC006547)". Lineage: Eukaryota; Viridiplantae; Streptophyta; Magnoliopsida; Apiales; Apiaceae. The record is from RNAcentral.